GAACUUAAGCAUAUCAAUAAGCGGAGGAAAAGAAACUAACAAGGAUUCCCCUAGUAACUGCGAGUGAAGCGGGAAAAGCUCAAAUUUAAAAUCUGGCGUGCCUCUGGUCGUCCGAGUUGUAGUUUAGAGAAGCGUUUUCUGUGUUGGACCGUGUAUAAGUCUCUUGGAACAGGGCGUCAUAGAGGGUGAGAAUCCCGUCUUUGACACGGACUACCAAUGCUUUGUGAUACGCUCUCAAAGAGUCGAGUUGUUUGGGAAUGCAGCUCAAAAUGGGUGGUAAAUUCCAUCUAAAGCUAAAUAUAGGCGAGAGACCGAUAGCGAACAAGUACCGUGAGGGAAAGAUGAAAAGCACUUUGGAAAGAGAGUUAAACAGUACGUGAAAUUGCUGAAAGGGAAACGCUUGAAGUCAGUCACGUCUGCCAGGACUCAGCCUUGCUUCUGCUUGGUGUACUUUCUGGUUGGAUGGGCCAACAUCGAUUUCGACCGUUGGAGAAAGGCUUUGGGAAUGUGGCACCUUCGGGUGUGUUAUAGCCCUUUGUCGUAUACAACGGUUGGGAUCGAGGACUGCAGCAUGCCUUCAUGGCCGGGGUUCGCCCACGUACAUGCUUAGGAUGUUGGCAUAAUGGCUUUAAGCGACCCGUCUUGAAACACGGACCAAGGAGUCUAACAUGCCUGCGAGUGUUUGGGUGGAAAACCCAUGCGCGUAAUGAAAGUGAUAGCUGAGAUCCUCUCAUCAGGAGCAUCAGCGCCUGGACUUGAUCUACGGAGACGGUUCUACGGUAGAGCAUGUAUGUUGGGACCCGAAA
RNAcentral lists this ribosomal RNA (806 nucleotides) under uncultured fungus. Its description in RNAcentral is "eukaryotic LSU rRNA". It matches the Rfam family "Eukaryotic large subunit ribosomal RNA", at positions 30 to 821 of the family's 3401-position model. The record is from RNAcentral. Lineage: Eukaryota; Fungi.